UGCAGAAUACGACUCGAUUGAGACCCUCCAACGUGCCGGCUGAUCCCUGUACCAACUCCAUCGGGCUCAGAGUAUCGGUUCUCACGUGUGCGCCUGGAAACGGCCUUAACCUCAUCUUGAUCCCAGUAUGCCUUGAGUCCCGUCCAAAAGGUGUCGGACAUGCCCAGCGGUGUCUCCAUCAUCUCCCCUACCUCGGUCUUCUCCUUGAGCUGUCUCUUAUACUCGCUCAUGUUGUCACUGUACCUUUUGCGGGCAUUUUUUAACCAUAUUUUUUUCACAUCAGCCUCAUCAUCAGGGUUCCAAGCAAACUCUUUCUGUUGAAUAUAUUGGUUAAAUUAAUAUAACAUUUCAAC
Molecule: long non-coding RNA, 353 nt
Filed under: Salvia miltiorrhiza (redroot sage)
Lineage: Eukaryota; Viridiplantae; Streptophyta; Magnoliopsida; Lamiales; Lamiaceae
Description: long non-coding RNA (SMIL_LNC012791)
Source: RNAcentral